UACGGGGGGGGCAAGCGUUGUUCGGAAUUACUGGGCGUAAAGCGCGGGCAGGCGGUCGGUCAAGUCUGAUGUGAAAUCUCUCCGCUCAACGGGGAGCAGCCAUUGGAAACUGGUCGACUGGAGUCUGGCAGAGGUAGGCGGAAUUCCGGGUGGAGUGGUGAAAUGCGUAGAGAUCCGGAGGAACACCAGAGGCGAAGGCGGCCUACUGGGCCAGUACUGACGCUGAGCCGCGAAAUCCAGGUGAGCUAACUGG
This 253-nucleotide ribosomal RNA is filed under the name uncultured bacterium. RNAcentral's name for it is "partial 16S ribosomal RNA". It matches the Rfam family "Bacterial small subunit ribosomal RNA", at positions 524 to 776 of the family's 1533-position model. The record is from RNAcentral.